CGGGGAUUGGCCUAAUUGGUAAGGCGCUCGCUUCGGGUGCGAGAGUAUAGCGGUUCAAGCCCGCUAUCCCCGA
Molecule: transfer RNA, 73 nt
Filed under: Candidatus Nealsonbacteria bacterium CG08_land_8_20_14_0_20_36_22
Lineage: Bacteria; Candidatus Nealsoniibacteriota
Description: tRNA-Pro
Rfam family: tRNA
About the family: Transfer RNA (tRNA) molecules are approximately 80 nucleotides in length. Their secondary structure includes four short double-helical elements and three loops (D, anti-codon, and T loops).
Source: RNAcentral